AGUGAACGCUGGCGGUAGGCCUAACACAUGCAAGUCGAACGGCAGCACAGUAAGAGCUUGCUCUUACGGGUGGCGAGUGGCGGACGGGUGAGGAAUACAUCGGAAUCUACUUUUUCGUGGGGGAUAAGGUAGGGAAACUUACGCUAAUACCGCAUAGGACCUACGGGUGAAAGCAGGGGAUUUUCGGACCUUCGGCGAUUGAAGGAGCCGAUGUCGAAUUGGCUAGUUGGCGGGGUAAAGGCCCACCAAGGCGACGAUCCGUAGCUGGUCUGAGAGGAUGAUCAGCCACACUGGAACUGAGACACGGUCCAGACUCCUACGGGAGGCAGCAGUGGGGAAUAUUGGACAAUGGGCGCAAGCCUGAUCCAGCCAUACCGCGUGGGUGAAGAAGGCCUUCGGGUUGUAAAGCCCUUUUGUUGGGAAAGAAAAGCAGCAGGUUAAUACCCCGCUGUUCUGACGGUACCCAAAGAAUAAGCACCGGCUAACUUCGUA
RNAcentral lists this ribosomal RNA (492 nucleotides) under uncultured bacterium. RNAcentral's name for it is "partial 16S ribosomal RNA". It matches the Rfam family "Bacterial small subunit ribosomal RNA", at positions 29 to 507 of the family's 1533-position model. The record is from RNAcentral.